This is a long non-coding RNA of Rhipicephalus microplus (southern cattle tick), 376 nucleotides long. Lineage: Eukaryota; Metazoa; Arthropoda; Arachnida; Ixodida; Ixodidae. The record is from RefSeq and is a predicted model, not a curated record.
CUCAUCAUUCUGUGACUGGUUGCCCCAAGCGCCAUCAGAAGGGAAAGGAUUCGGGUGGGAAUUGAGCUCGCCUUCAUCAAUGUUAUCAAGAGGACCCACUAGAGAUCAUACGACAGGGACACAGAAGGGAAAAUUUAUUAUCCUGCAUUCAACGUUGUCCGAGAAGACUGCCACAAUCAUCGGCCCUGCUCUCCGCAACGUGGACCACUGUAGCAUCUCGUUCUUUUACACAGUGCAAGGCGAGAGUGAACCACAGCUCUCUUUAAACGUGCGAACUAGUAAGAACGGGCUAUGGAAACGUGUCUGGUCUCAACCACGGCCGACAACUUUCUGGAAUUUUAUGCCCGAAACUGUAGCCUUUACGGAAAAAGAACCA